This 250-nucleotide unclassified non-coding RNA is filed under the name plant metagenome. RNAcentral's name for it is "partial contains small subunit ribosomal RNA, internal transcribed spacer 1, and 5.8S ribosomal RNA". The stretch from base 1 to 53 matches the Rfam family "Eukaryotic small subunit ribosomal RNA", at positions 1778 to 1831 of the family's 1831-position model. The record is from RNAcentral.
GGAAGUAAAGUCGUAACAAGGUCUCCGUAGGUGAACCUGCGGAGGGAUCAUUACAGAGUUCAUGCCCUACCGGGUAGAUCUCCCACCCUAUGUUAUUAUUACUUUGUUGCUUUGGCGGGCCGUUAGGCUCCGGCCCGACUACCGGCCCCGGCUGGUAAGCGCCCGCCAGAGGACCCAAAACCCUGAAUAUUAGUGUCGUCUGAGUACUAUAUAAUAGUUAAAACUUUCAACAACGGAUCUCUUGGUUCUG